This is a long non-coding RNA of Xiphophorus maculatus (southern platyfish), 583 nucleotides long. RefSeq lists it as uncharacterized. NCBI's taxonomy places the organism in Eukaryota, Metazoa, Chordata, Actinopteri, Cyprinodontiformes, Poeciliidae. The record is from RefSeq and is a predicted model, not a curated record. The transcript has 2 exons.
GCGUUCCGCAAAUGAUGGAUAAAAUCAAACGAGAGGCUGCAUUGACGCUAACCGCUUACGCAAAACGUGCUGUGGAGAAGGGAGCUGUCUGCUGUGAAAACAGCCUGCACAAGGACAAGUGAGGAUGGAGAGGAGUGUUUGACAAGCAGAGUGCCUUACACGCGCUUCAGAGAGAGUGUGUGUGCUUCUGAGUGGGAUAAAUCACUGGAAGGAAUUCUACCAGCCCCACGAAACUAUCUGCUUAAAAGGACAAAGGUGAACUAUCAAGCUGCUUUUUGUGAUAAUCAAUGGAUCAGUAUUUUUUGUAGGGUUCAGCACUGGAGUAGAUUGUUUUCUGCAGACCAGGAAUCUGGGUGUGGACCAACAAGUUUGGGGAUAAAAGGGAAAAAACAUUAACAGGAGUGGUGAGAAAAAUUCCUUGGUGGACCAUUUUCCACAAUGUCUGGGAGCCAGGAGCCAUUCUGGGUCUCUGUCUUGUUUUCAUUACAAUUUUAUUUAAACAUAAGCAGCUGCCUAUGCAUGUGAAUUUUUUAUCUGCGUCAAUUUCUUAAAUUCUUUCCAUAUUAAAACAUGUUCAUGUGCA